RNAcentral lists this ribosomal RNA (540 nucleotides) under uncultured bacterium. Its description in RNAcentral is "bacterial SSU rRNA". It matches the Rfam family "Bacterial small subunit ribosomal RNA", at positions 777 to 1314 of the family's 1533-position model. The record is from RNAcentral.
AAUAGAUACCCCGGUAGUCCACGCCGUAAACGGUGGGUACUAGGUGUGGGUUUCCUUCCUUGGGAUCCGUGCCGUAGCUAACGCAUUAAGUACCCCGCCUGGGGAGUACGGCCGCAAGGCUAAAACUCAAAGGAAUUGACGGGGGCCCGCACAAGCGGCGGAGCAUGUGGAUUAAUUCGAUGCAACGCGAAGAACCUUACCUGGGUUUGACAUGCACAGGACGCUGGUAGAGAUAUCAGUUCCCUUGUGGUCUGUGUGCAGGUGGUGCACGGCUGUCGUCAGCUCGUGUCGUGAGAUGUUGGGUUAAGUCCCGCAACGAGCGCAACCCUUGUCUUAUGUUGCCAGCACGUGAUGGUGGGGACUCGUGAGAGACUGCCGGGGUCAACUCGGAGGAAGGUGGGGAUGACGUCAAGUCAUCAUGCCCCUUAUGUCCCAGGGCUUCACACAUGCUACAAUGGCCGGUACAAAGGGCUGCGAUGCCGUGAGGUUAAGCGAAUCCUUUAAAGCCGGUCUCAGUUCGGAUCGGGGUCUGCAACUCCG